UGUGUGUGUGUGUGUGUGUGUGUGUGUGUGUGUGUGUGUGUGUGUGUGUUUUGCCCAGCAGUUAUGGUCAUAGCUCCAUAUAUUUCACAUUCAUGACUCUGCCUACCUAGACUGGCUGAGCCACCUUAAUGUACACUGGAAUCAGACUUUGAGCCCAAGAGACUGAAGGGAAACCUCAAACAGUGGGUGUCCAAAAAUGAGAAGAGUGUUCUGGCUGGUAUGCAGUGAGAGGAGAGUAAGAGAAGGAACCUCUUCAAGAAACAUGGAAAGUCUGGUGUCCAUCAUGAAGUGUGUGGUUGCCAACUGUCCUAAAGGGAAAAAAUCCUUUCAUAUUUCUUCAUGUAAAGGACUUGUUUGCCAUGCAGAGAGAUCCAGUGUCCUGCCCUGAUUAGACAGUCCUUUUAAAUCAAGAGUUUCCAGGAGACAGAGUCACAGACAACAAAUCAGCUGUGUCCUGCCUCAGCUGCCACGCCCUGUACCUUUGCAUUUUCUUCUGAGAGUAAAU
This 505-nucleotide long non-coding RNA is filed under the name Mus spicilegus (steppe mouse). RNAcentral describes it as "lncRNA (ENSMSIG00000017329.1)". The record is from RNAcentral. Lineage: Eukaryota; Metazoa; Chordata; Mammalia; Rodentia; Muridae.